Molecule: ribosomal RNA, 831 nt
Filed under: uncultured bacterium
Lineage: Bacteria
Description: bacterial SSU rRNA
Rfam family: Bacterial small subunit ribosomal RNA
Source: RNAcentral
AGUGUAGCGGUGAAAUGCGUAGAGAUUGGAAGGAAUACCGGUGGCGAAGGCGGCCACCUGGUCAGAAACUGACGCUGAGGUACGAAAGCGUGGGGGGCAAACGGGAUUAGAUACCCUGGUAGUCCACGCCGUAAACGAUGUCAACUAGUUGUUCGUCUUAUAAACAAGGUGAGUAACGCAGCUAACGCACUAAGUUGACCGCCUGGGGAGUACGGCCGCAAGGUUAAAACUCAAAUGAAUUGACGGGGGCCCGCACAAGCGGUGGAGCAUGUGGUUUAAUUCGAUGCAACGCGAAGAACCUUACCAUCCCUUGACAUCCAGAGAAUUUUCUAGAGAUAGAUUAGUGCCUUCGGGAACUCUGAGACAGGUGCUGCAUGGCUGUCGUCAGCUCGUGUUGUGAGAUGUUGGGUUAAGUCCCGCAACGAGCGCAACCCUUAUCCUCAGUUGCCAGCACGUAAAGGUGGGAACUCUGUGGAGACUGCCGGUGAUAAACCGGAGGAAGGUGGGGACGACGUCAAGUCAUCAUGGCCCUUACGGGAUGGGCUACACACGUGCUACAAUGGCGCGUACAAAGGGAAGCAAGCUAGCGAUAGUGAGCGGAUCUCAAAAAGCGCGUCGUAGUCCGGAUUGGAGUCUGCAACUCGACUCCAUGAAGUCGGAAUCGCUAGUAAUCGCGGAUCAGAAUGCCGCGGUGAAUACGUUCCCGGGCCUUGUACACACCGCCCGUCACACCAUGGGAGUGGGCUGCACCAGAAGUAGAUAGCUUAACCUUCGGGAGGGCGUUUACCACGGUGUGGUUCAUGACUGGGGUGAAGUCGUAACAAGGUACCA